GGGGAGGGGGAGUGAGAGAAAGAGAAAGGAACUAUGGGGGUUGUCUUUCCAGAUCCUUUAGGUCAACAGUGGAUGAGGGACUACUGCAUUUGAGCUGCCUAAGGCAGAGUGGGGGAACAAAGGCGGGGGAGGACAGGCAGAUGUAAACUAAAGAUGGUGACUUUGCACAUGGCCUUGAGAGUUUGAUUGGGUUAGUCUUCGUCACAGAGAAGGAAUUCAAGGCCCUUUCCUGUCACUUGCUGGGUUCCCUGGACGUCUGGCUGAGAGUGGUGCUUGUGCCCCUGGUUCAUCCACCAUCUGGUUCUUCUCUACCUUCUGGAAGGAUCCUUCUUCCUCCGAGCCACUGGAGAACUUUGGCUUCUAUGGACUUCUCCUUUGGGAGGAUGUGCAAGGGCCUAACCCUGACCUUGCUCAGUCAACCAUUACUGAAUGGGUCAAAGGUCACUCUCUCCAGCUAAAACACCCAGUGAAUGGAUAUGAAGCUGCAAGAUGGUCACAGGAGAGUCCACAGAAGCCAGAAAGAUGCUGAGCUCAGAGAAGGCGAGGGAUAUUUACAGGAAAAGUAAAACCAUGCAGAGGUGCAGUGUACACACUCAUGCACACACACACAUACCACACAUACACCACACACACACACACACACACACACACGCACACACGCACGCACGCACGCACGCACGCACGUACACGCACAUCACAUGCACACACAACCCCGUUUAAUCAUGAUCUCCAGACAAGGCCUGGCAUUAGAUGAUUUAAAAAUAGGCUUGUUUGAAGCCAUCACUGGGCUGGGCCUUUCUUUGAUUUUGCUUCUAAUUAUGAAAGCUCUCAGGGGGAGGCCUCCAGCUGUCCAGCUUGCCCGCCCUCCCUGCUCUUUGGAAGGCUGUGGCUGUCACCAGCCUCCUACUUAUGGCUGCCAUUUCUGAGGCCCUGGCAACAGAGGUGGGGUGCCUCACCUCCUUGGUGAAGAUCCCCUGCAGAUAGGAGAAAUGACGUCUCCCACGUGUCCUCCCAUCUGAGACCCGAAGCAGAGGCCAAGUCAGCACCCAGGAUCCAGGAAGAAUACCCGCACAGUCCCCUUGAUGUCCUUGGGUGCUCAGCAGCUGACAGGACCCAGGAGGGACACUGAGAAAUCACGAGUGACCCCAAGCCUCUAGCUCUAGCGUGGAGCUCCUCCCCACCCUCUGGGCCCAGAAAAAUUACCUUCUGACCUGUGGAGAUUGGCUUUCUGGAGCUUACAUUUUCAUUCGUAUGACGUGUUUCAGCAACCAGCAUGUGUAACUGGCCUUGGAGAUCUCAAGAAUUCCCUUACAGUGGAUUUAUAAAUCAACACCUGUGAUGAAGUGACGGCUAUCUGCCCUUGUGCUGUGUGCCUUCCACAGCCCACUGCCUUCACUCAGGCUGUUUUUGGAACUGGUCCACAGCAUUCAUUCCACCCUGAUCCACCGGCAUCUCAAGCCUGCCUCAGAAUAUGUGCAAACAAAUAGAGCCCUGGCUUGUGGAUUUCCAGUGUUCGCAGUUCUAAAUGCUGAAGUGAGCAGCCUUCAGCGUGGAUCUCCGUUCGUGUUAGACCCCUAUCAGACCUUGUAGCCCUCUAGAUCCUAGCUUUCUAAACUGUAGGCCAUGACCUCGUGGGGUACAUAACUUCAUGGGAUCAUGAAGAAUACCACAACAGCUCAGGAGUUCAGAGUUCUGAGCAACACCCAAAGAUUAACUCAAAAUCGGUGUGUAUUGAGCCUGAGGUGCUUCUGAAAGGGCUGGCCUGUGUCUCAGGACCCCACUGCAGCUUUCGUUCUGGGAACAACUAUGUGUGCUCUGUACCUUACAUACAUCAUGCCGCAUGUCACUCCGUACACCACAGAAACCAGCCUAAAACACCUCAUCUCGGAGACUCCAAAGCCUCUGUUAUGACUGCAGUGCUUUUACUGUACAAACUAUUCUGCGCUCAUGGAAAUAUAACAACUACGCAAAACAAAGAUUUCUGGGUAUUUUUGUACUGUCAUUGCUCAGCGUGUAAGUAUCAAAUUAGUGUAUCUUUGGAUUGUGUUGGGUUAGAAUGUCUGAUUUUAAAAUUUGCUGUUUGAUCUGGAAACCUACUAUUUUGUAAGCCAAUUAAAAAUGUGAGUAUGAAAAAAGAGAGGGUUGGAAGGGACAUAUUCUGCACAGCUUGAUGCCAUUGUUCUUAGAAGCCAAGGCUGUUAAACAGAAAUCUCCCUGCCAGGUGUGGCCUACUCCUUAUAAAAUGUCAUUGGUCAGGCAUUGGUCAGGCAGGCCACAGAAGCCCCCAGACAAUACAGGCCCUCGCUCUUCCUCCUGGUUGUUCUCAAAUGCUAAGCAUUCUGUUGCUGAAGACACCACACACCUUGGUUGCGAGGUAUAGAGAAACGAAGCUAGAACUGAGCAAGAAGCUUCCUUCCUGCUGGCUCGCUUUCCUUUUGCUGGAAGGCGCUGUGGAGCUCACCAGAGGAGAAAAGGCCUAAGUGUUCUUACCCAGCUGUGAACUCAAUGAACUACAGUGCAAACUGUCAGGCAAGACAUGCCUACAGCGGCAAUAGUGGCACAAGUGUUAUGGGGCAACUAUCCUAUGACGUAGCUGAGCACUUCUCAGUAUGGUCCAGCUUCUAAUAACACGGUCCCACACCCUAUGGCAGUGAAGCAUUCUGUGAUAUGGCUGAGCAUAUAACUGCAUUCCAGACUAAGGCUGGGUGUCUUGUGGUAUGGUCCAGAAUUCCACAGUGGGUUUGACCAUUUCUGAAAGAUUCAUGAAGUCGAUGUGUUAGUCUUUGCAAGAUGUUUCACCUGUUUCCAUGGCAUAGUCUUGAGGUUUGGACUGUCUCCUUGAGGAGGGCUAUGUCUAUGCGUGUGCAUGUGUACAGAAACUUAAAAAUGUAUAAGCCACUAACUAGCAGCUCAUUUAAAAAUAAGCCUUUGGCUGCACUUGGAUCAUGGACCAUAGUCUAUUCUUCAUCUUUCUCAAGGUCACAAAAAGUUUCUCUGAUGCUCUUUCUUCAAGAGGCUUCAGACUCUCACACUUUGCUCCUAGAACAGUAGUCCACUCUGAGUUCGUUUCUGUGUGUCAUGGAGACUGGGCAUCAAGAUGCAACUUUACAUGCAUUGUUUCAGCACUGCCUGUUGGAAAGCAGGUUCCUCCUUCAUCAAAGAAGCACCUGCUGUGACAUCUUAAAAGAAGUCCCUUUACCAGAUUUGUGUGUCAGCUAUGGACCCUCUUCAGCUCCAUUGCUCAACGCUUUUAGAGCCUGUUUGGAGAUUUUGAGCCGGUUUAGAAAAAAAAAAAAAACUCGACACAGUCACGGACCCCCAGCAUCACCACCACGUCACCACCACCAUCAUAAUUUGCAAAUGUGUCUAGGGUUUGCUUUAAUGGCUCUUUGACAUUCUGGCAUGUGUGGUUACUCUACACAGGUUUUCCAUCGUAAGUGCCUCUCUAGACAGCUUCGUUCAUAGCUCUCUGUGUGUACCUGAGAAGUUGGCAGGGCAUCUUGACCCAUAGUAGACAUUACUGUCCACUGUCAAGCUGUCGGAAUCUGGUUAUAGGAAUGCUUACACUUCUGGUGUAUAGAGGUGAGAGGCCAGGGGAGGUGGACAUCAUGAUGGAUGAGUAUGUUUCGGAAGAAUCAGCCUCCAUCAUGGGCAAUAUUGAGGGCCCCAUCUGAGCACCCAUGGAGGUAAACUUUUACCCAACCUGGCAGAGGGUGAUGGUCUGGAUGUGGUUUGACCUCAAGAGGAUCACGUGCUUGGUCCUCGACUAAGCUGUGGGGCCUAGUGGAAGGGGUUAUGUCACGGUGUCUGCAUCACUAUCAGUGAGUCAGUGCCACCCUACAGUGGCGGUGGCAGUUCUCACAAGACUGGGUCACUAUAAAACAAGCCCCCUACCCCCAUGGACCCUUCUGGAUGCAUCUGAUUCCCUACCUCUUCCUCACUAUGCGGUGAGACAUGAACCCUCACCAAAGGCCAAUGCCAUGUUGUUUGGACCUUUCAGCUCUCUGGAUCAUGAGCCAAACAACCUCUUCUUUAUCAAGUGCUCAGGGUCCGACAUUUUGCAACAGCCAACACAAAAUGGAUUAAGGCUCUUAUAUGUAAAAACACUUCUCUUUUAAACAGAUAUAAUGUAAACUAAACGUACAUGCUGCACCUUCUCUGCAGAGCUCUGGAUGAAACCUCACGGAACUCAGAACUUUAUAAGAGAGACUAUUGUUCAGGUAGUUGAGUCACUGAUAGGCGAUGCUCUCGGGGUCUGGGCUGUGACAGUGUAUCACACCAUGUGGUUCCUGCUCCAUGAUGUCAAAGCCACCAGUCAGAAUAGCCCGCAGCUUGGCGUUCAUACUGGCCGGGUAGAUACUUCCUGUGGUAUUGAAGCAGUGGGCACUUCUGGCUGUGGGGUGGGUGCCUCUUGCAUGGUGACUGCCUCUUGUGAGUCCUCACCAGCUGUUGGCAUCCUGGCACACUUUGGGUUUGCUCCCGUGGUGGCGGGAAGCAGUGUGGGCUGCUAAUCUCAUGCUGUCCCGGUGGCUGCUGACUACACAGC
Molecule: long non-coding RNA, 4546 nt
Organism: Meriones unguiculatus (Mongolian gerbil)
Lineage: Eukaryota; Metazoa; Chordata; Mammalia; Rodentia; Muridae
Exons: 3
Source: RefSeq, a predicted model, not a curated record